AACGCACAUUGCGCCCUUUGGUAUUCCUUAGGGCAUGCCUGUUCGAGCGUCAUUAAGUUCAUCAAGCACGGCUUGUUGUUGGGCGCCUGUCCCGCCUCCGGCGCGGACUCGCCUCAAAACGAUUGGCAGCCCCUCCCGGCGGCACGGAGCGCAGCAGAAUUGCGACUCCUCCCGCGGGGACGGCGGCACCCAGAAGCCUCUCCUUUCAGAUGGACCUCGGAUCAGGUAGGGAUACCCGCUGAACUUAA
RNAcentral lists this unclassified non-coding RNA (248 nucleotides) under uncultured fungus. Its description in RNAcentral is "partial contains 5.8S ribosomal RNA, internal transcribed spacer 2, and large subunit ribosomal RNA". The record is from RNAcentral. Lineage: Eukaryota; Fungi.